ACGCUCGACACCUACGGGAGGCAGCAGUCGGGAAUAUUGCGCAAUGGAGGAAACUCUGACGCAGUGACGCCGCGUGCAGGAAGAAGGUUUUCGGAUUGUAAACUGCUUUAGACAGGGAAGAAAGAAAUGACAGUACCUGUAGAAUAAGCUCCGGCUAACUACGUGCCUGCAGCUGCGGUAAUCUGAGCGGGCUGGCAAGGC
RNAcentral lists this ribosomal RNA (201 nucleotides) under uncultured bacterium. Its description in RNAcentral is "partial 16S ribosomal RNA". It matches the Rfam family "Bacterial small subunit ribosomal RNA", at positions 328 to 539 of the family's 1533-position model. The record is from RNAcentral.